Molecule: microRNA precursor, 189 nt
Filed under: Leersia perrieri
Lineage: Eukaryota; Viridiplantae; Streptophyta; Magnoliopsida; Poales; Poaceae
Description: MIR812 microRNA precursor family
Rfam family: MIR812 microRNA precursor family
Source: Rfam by way of RNAcentral
AAUAUAAGGUACUUUGAUUUUUCACUUGCAACUUUUAUCAUUCGUCUUAUUCAAAUUUUUUUUAAAAGUAUUAUUUAUUUUAUUUGUGAUUUACUUUAUUAUCAAAAGUACUUUAAUCAUUACUUAUCAUUUUUAAAAUUUGCAAUAAAUUUUUGAAUAAGACGAAUGGUCAAAGUUGCAGACAGAGAU